Molecule: unclassified non-coding RNA, 284 nt
Filed under: Hevea brasiliensis (rubber tree)
Lineage: Eukaryota; Viridiplantae; Streptophyta; Magnoliopsida; Malpighiales; Euphorbiaceae
Source: RNAcentral
GGUUUAGUUGGUUUUGCCUCAUUUUAACUUUCCACAAAAACAAUCCUAUGUUUUCAUCAAUUAACUAUCACAAUGCCUCACUCUUUUUUUUCCCCACUACAAUUGUCAAACUUAGUUCACACCUCAUAAAUUGGAAAAAUUUGAGAAAAUAAGGAGAGAACUAAAGAGAUGCAUCAAUUUUACUUAAUGAUAAAUGGAAACAUACACCACAGAGAUAACAGAGGACUGUGGAGAGAGACAGACAGAGAAAAAGGGUACAUGUACAGAGAGUGGCAUCUAAUGAU